RNAcentral lists this unclassified non-coding RNA (412 nucleotides) under uncultured Inocybe. Its description in RNAcentral is "sequence contains ITS2". The stretch from base 1 to 154 matches the Rfam family "5.8S ribosomal RNA". Lineage: Eukaryota; Fungi; Basidiomycota; Agaricomycetes; Agaricales; Cortinariaceae. The record is from RNAcentral.
AACUUUCAACAACGGAUCACUUGGCUCUCGCAUCGAUGAAGAACGCAGCGAAAUGCGAUAAGUAAUGUGAAUUGCAGAAUUCAGUGAAUCAUCGAAACUUUGAACGCAUCUUGCGCUCCUUGGUAUUCCGAGGAGCAUGCCUGUUUGAGUGUCAUUCAACUUCUCAACCACAUCAUAGGUGGCUUGGACGUGGGGGUUGUUUGCAGGCUUUUCGUUCUACAGAAGGUCGGCUCCCCUGAAACAUAUUAGUGGUAUCUGGGCUGCUGCUGUAGUUGUGAUAAAGUAUCUAUGCCUUUGGUAAGCUGCAUGAACAGAUUGCGCUGCUUAUAACAAAAAGAUUGAAUCUGAUGAAUUUGACCUCAAGUCAGGUAGGACUACCCGCUGAACUUAAGCAUAUCAAUAAGCGGAGGCU